Molecule: long non-coding RNA, 455 nt
Organism: Astatotilapia calliptera (eastern happy)
Lineage: Eukaryota; Metazoa; Chordata; Actinopteri; Cichliformes; Cichlidae
Source: Ensembl
UUCGGGAAAAAAACUCACGGACGGUGACAGCGAAACGGAUAACAGUCUUCAGUACCUGCUGGACUUUGAAGCUGUGGAUUCUGGGACUGUUAGAAAAGAGGCAGCGGCGAGAGGGGAGACCUCGGCUCAUCCAGCUGGAGAGCCUGACCAGGAGGAGUCGAACAUUAACUGAGCUCUUCCAGGGCACCCUGCAGACUCGGCUGCUGGCAUCGGCGAGGGAUGACGUGAACGCCAAACUGGAGUCCAUCACAGGUCAACUGCAGCUCCUUGUCUCAGAGUGGGAGGGAUUUGAAGCACAAAGGGAGGAACUUGUCAUUUGGUUGGCUGAUAUGGAUGUGAGGUUGACCAGCUGACAGGAAACACCAGUGAAAAACUGAAACAACUGCAGGUGUGGGCUUGUUUUGAUAUGACAUAUACAGGGAGUGCAGAAUUAUUAGGCAAGUUGUAUUUUUGAG